AGGGGAAGUCGCGCUAUCGCGAGCGGGGUACGGAGGUCUUACUGUGAGCGUCAAGCCAGCUAGGAACUUCAUACCAUGCUCGCUAUGGCAGACGACACGU
This 100-nucleotide microRNA precursor is filed under the name Ixodes scapularis (black-legged tick). Its description in RNAcentral is "microRNA isc-mir-276 precursor". Its record names the gene isc-mir-276. The record is from miRBase by way of RNAcentral. Lineage: Eukaryota; Metazoa; Arthropoda; Arachnida; Ixodida; Ixodidae.